Molecule: ribosomal RNA, 263 nt
Filed under: uncultured bacterium
Lineage: Bacteria
Description: partial 16S ribosomal RNA
Rfam family: Bacterial small subunit ribosomal RNA
Source: RNAcentral
UACGUAGGGUGCGAGCGUUGUCCGGAAUUAUUGGGCGUAAAGAGCUCGUAGGCGGUGUGUCGCGUCGGCCGUGAAAACCUGCAGCUUAACUGUGGGCUUGCGGUCGAUACGGGCAUCACUGGAGUUCGGCAGGGGAGACUGGAAUUCCUGGUGUAGCGGUGAAAUGCGCAGAUAUCAAGGCGGAACACCGGUGGCGAAGGCGGGACCUUCUGGGCCGAGUGACUGACGCUGAGGACGAACGAAGCGUGGGGGAGCAAACAGGG